CGGACGGGUGAGUAACACGUGGGUAACCUACCCAUCAGAGGGGGAUAACACUUGGAAACAGGUGCUAAUACCGCAUAACAGUUUAUGCCGCAUGGCAUAAGAGUGAAAGGCGCUUUCGGGUGUCGCUGAUGGAUGGACCCGCGGUGCAUUAGCUAGUUGGUGAGGUAACGGCUCACCAAGGCCACGAUGCAUAGCCGACCUGAGAGGGUGAUCGGCCACACUGGGACUGAGACACGGCCCAGACUCCUACGGGAGGCAGCAGUAGGGAAUCUUCGGCAAUGGACGAAAGUCUGACCGAGCAACGCCGCGUGAGUGAAGAAGGUUUUCGGAUCGUAAAACUCUGUUGUUAGAGAA
This 354-nucleotide ribosomal RNA is filed under the name Enterococcus faecalis. RNAcentral describes it as "bacterial SSU rRNA". It matches the Rfam family "Bacterial small subunit ribosomal RNA", at positions 99 to 446 of the family's 1533-position model. The record is from RNAcentral. Lineage: Bacteria; Bacillati; Bacillota; Bacilli; Lactobacillales; Enterococcaceae.